ACGCUGGCGGCAGGCCUAACACAUGCAAGUCGAGCGGUAGAGAGAAGCUUGCUUCUCUUGAGAGCGGCGGACGGGUGAGUAAUGCCUAGGAAUCUGCCUGGUAGUGGGGGAUAACGUUCGGAAACGGACGCUAAUACCGCAUACGUCCUACGGGAGAAAGCAGGGGACCUUCGGGCCUUGCGCUAUCAGAUGAGCCUAGGUCGGAUUAGCUAGUUGGUGGGGUAAUGGCUCACCAAGGCGACGAUCCGUAACUGGUCUGAGAGGAUGAUCAGUCACACUGGAACUGAGACACGGUCCAGACUCCUACGGGAGGCAGCAGUGGGGAAUAUUGGACAAUGGGCGAAAGCCUGAUCCAGCCAUGCCGCGUGUGUGAAGAAGGUCUUCGGAUUGUAAAGCACUUUAAGUUGGGAGGAAGGGUUGUAGAUUAAUACUCUGCAAUUUUGACGUUACCGACAGAAUAAGCACCGGCUAACUCUGUGCCAGCAGCCGCGGUAAUACAGAGGGUGCAAGCGUUAAUCGGAAUUACUGGGCGUAAAGCGCGCGUAGGUGGUUUGUUAAGUUGGAUGUGAAAUCCCCGGGCUCAACCUGGGAACUGCAUUCAAACUGACUGACUAGAGUAUGGUAGAGGGUGGUGGAAUUUCCUGUGUAGCGGUGAAAUGCGU
This 662-nucleotide ribosomal RNA is filed under the name uncultured bacterium. RNAcentral's name for it is "bacterial SSU rRNA". It matches the Rfam family "Bacterial small subunit ribosomal RNA", at positions 33 to 691 of the family's 1533-position model. The record is from RNAcentral.